RNAcentral lists this transfer RNA (69 nucleotides) under Anoxypristis cuspidata (knifetooth sawfish). RNAcentral describes it as "tRNA-Trp". It matches the Rfam family "tRNA". From Rfam's summary of the family: Transfer RNA (tRNA) molecules are approximately 80 nucleotides in length. Their secondary structure includes four short double-helical elements and three loops (D, anti-codon, and T loops). The record is from RNAcentral. Lineage: Eukaryota; Metazoa; Chordata; Chondrichthyes; Rhinopristiformes; Pristidae.
AGAAAUUUAGGUUAACCAGACCAAAAGCCUUCAAAGCUUUAAGCAAGAGUGAAAACCUCUUAAUUUCUG